GAGCGCUCCGUCUCGCUGUUCUGGCUUGGGAACAGCCUUGCUAGCUUCUGUUCCCAAGCCAGAACAGCGAGACGGAGGGCUC
Molecule: non-coding RNA, 82 nt
Organism: Podarcis lilfordi (Lilford's wall lizard)
Lineage: Eukaryota; Metazoa; Chordata; Lepidosauria; Squamata; Lacertidae
Source: the annotation of a GenBank genome assembly